AGGGAAUCUUCCGCAAUGGACGAAAGUCUGACGGAGCAACGCCGCGUGAGUGAAGAAGGCCUUCGGGUCGUAAAACUCUGUUGCCGGGGAAGAACAAGUGCCGUUCGAACAGGGCGGCGCCUUGACGGUACCCGGCCAGAAAGCCACGGCUAACUACGUGCCAGCAGCCGCGGUAAUACGUAGGUGGCAAGCGUUGUCCGGAAUUAUUGGGCGUAAAGCGCGCGCAGGCGGCUUCUUAAGUCUGAUGUGAAAGCUUGGGGCUCAACCGCGAGCGGUCAUUGGAAACUGGGAGGCUUGAGUGCAGAAGAGGAGAGUGGAAUUCCACGUGUAGCGGUGAAAUGCGUAGAGAUGUGGAGGAACACCAGUGGCGAAGGCGGCUCUCUGGACUGUAACUGACGCUGAGGCACGAAAGCGUGGGUAGCAAAC
This 426-nucleotide ribosomal RNA is filed under the name uncultured bacterium. RNAcentral's name for it is "bacterial SSU rRNA". It matches the Rfam family "Bacterial small subunit ribosomal RNA", at positions 356 to 773 of the family's 1533-position model. The record is from RNAcentral.